Molecule: ribosomal RNA, 256 nt
Filed under: uncultured bacterium
Lineage: Bacteria
Description: partial 16S ribosomal RNA
Rfam family: Bacterial small subunit ribosomal RNA
Source: RNAcentral
CAGCCAAGUCGUGAGGCGGAGCUAAUCCCUUAAAGCCAUCCUCAGUUCGGAUUGUAGGCUGAAACUCGCCUACAUGAAGCUGGAGUUACUAGUAAUCGCAGAUCAGAAUGCUGCGGUGAAUGCGUUCCCGGGUCUUGUACACACCGCCCGUCACACCACGGAAGUUGGGGGCGCCCGAAGCCACUUAGCUAACCCAUUUGGGAAGCGAGUGUCGAAGGUGAAAUCAAUAACUGGGGUGAAGUCGUAACAAGGUACC